AGCUCCAAUAGCGUAUAUUAAAGUUGUUGCAGUUAAAAAGCUCGUAGUUGAAUUUUGGGUCAGACCGGUCGGUCCGCUGAACGGCGAGUACUGACUGGUUUGGCCUUCCUUCUGGCUAUCAGGUCUGCCUUUAAACGGGUGGGCCUGAGAACCAGGACUUUUACUUUGAAAAAAUUAGAGUGUUCAAAGCAAGCUUACGCUUGAAUACAUUAGCAUGGAAUAAUAAAAUAGGAUUUUGGUUCUAUUUUGUUGGUUUCUAGGACCAAGGUAAUGAUUAAUAGGGACAGUUGGGGACAUUAGUAUUUCAGUGCUAGAGGUGAAAUUCUUGGAUUUCUGAAAGACUAACUACUGCGAAAGCAUUUGUCAAGGAUGUUUUCA
This 378-nucleotide ribosomal RNA is filed under the name uncultured eukaryote. RNAcentral's name for it is "SSU rRNA". It matches the Rfam family "Eukaryotic small subunit ribosomal RNA", at positions 587 to 972 of the family's 1831-position model. The record is from RNAcentral.